This 3451-nucleotide long non-coding RNA is filed under the name Schizosaccharomyces pombe (fission yeast). RNAcentral describes it as "centromeric lncRNA". The record is from RNAcentral. Lineage: Eukaryota; Fungi; Ascomycota; Schizosaccharomycetes; Schizosaccharomycetales; Schizosaccharomycetaceae.
UAUUGAUGGUUGUUAACAUUUUCUGAAACAAUUGCUGAUAUGAAAGACUAUUAAAAGUCCUGUUUCAAAAAUUGAGAUAAAGAUUUUGGAAAACAUAGAUACAUGUACAUCAUCGCUUAGCACUUUGAGAAAGAGAUAAUAAUAGAAUCAUAUUUACCCCAAACUAAUUCAUGGGUGAUUGAUGAAAACAUCAACCAUUGUUUCAUUUCAUAAAGCAACACUGGGUGAGCACUAAAUAGACGGAACCAAAUGAUGUGAGGUUCAUGAUGGGUUCAUCGUUUCCAUUCAGUUUACACACCAUACGAAGAGGAAAAAGAAGUUAUUAAAAAAGUACAAGCGAUGCCGUCAGUUGGAUAUAAAGAAACGAGAGCUAGUACGUAUUACCACACCACCACAAUUUAACCCGAUUAGGCAAACAUCAAGAGUCCUGCAAAGACCGAAUCAAUCGGUACAUGUCUCGCUGAAAAACUUUAUAGUUGAAUGUUGUCUCCAUUUCUUGUGAUAUGAGUUUCAAGUUUUGAUCUUUUUUAAAAUCGUCAUCAAUCAUUUCAUCAUUUCAUCUUUUUGUUUGUUUGUUUUUUUAAUUUUUAAACAAUAUCGAACUUUAAUUACUGGAGUUCAGCCGACUGGAGAUGUAAAAGUCUUUAUCGUUUUUUGUUGACAAUCAUACUCGAAAAAAAAGAAAUCAAAUCAGAAUUGAACACGAAGUAUGACCCGAAUUGCUCUAGUACACGUGAUGUCGUCAUGGCAAGAAAUUUUGGUGAUGUGGGUCUACUAAUCCAAUAAUAGCGACUUCCUUACUUAUUAAGAGACUUGAAGGCAGUUCAAAAUACCUGUGUCUGCUCACAUAUGCAGCUUCCGGAAUCUGUUUUCAUCCUACAUAUUCUUACCCUUCUACUACUCAUUCACUUUAUGUUUACCCUAGCAAAAUGAAGUAACAUUGUUUAAAAAGAAUUGGUCGAAAGCAUCAAGACUAUCAAGCUUAAAUACAUUCAGUAACGAAAUUAGUCAUAUAAAGUCUUUCGUAAUACACAAAUUUUUUAGCGCACACGUUAUUCCUGCUUAAAGCUCGUUUCUCUUCAUCCAUUUUACACAGAUAGUGUGAUCACGAAGAAUUACUAAUAAAACAUUGAGGCGUUAUGAGAUCUAUGUCGCUUCGCAAAACCGUAUCUUAGUACGACAUAAAGUUGCUUUUGGACUUGAACGUUGACUAAAUAAAUGUGUUGCCUGAUUGUACAUGAUAUAUUAUCAGCUUUGUCAAGGGAAAAACCGAGACCGAAGAAAGUUAAAACUGAGAGAAAUUCUAGAUAUGCUACUAUAAGUGCUCUUUGUCAUGAGAGAAACAUGAUUCUACGUGUCUGAUUCACGCAAAGGAUGCAUCAAUAUACCUUCUUUUAAUUACAGGAUGAUGCAUUUUUAAUUUGUUAUUGUUGUGAAUUCUAUGUCAACUGUUUGCUAAUAUAGGCGGCGCAGAGAUAUGAAAACCAAACCGUGACAAUACACCUAAGCUAAAAGGUCAACGCACGCCUAAACUAGCAGCUCAACUCAUGAUUGGACUAAUAAUUUAAAACUAAAACUAAAACCUAAACCUAUUUUACAAAUAAAACUCAUAAUUAGGCUAACAACCCUACCCAUCAACUAACGACUUGACGGUAUGCUAUUCCUUCUUUUUUUUAAAGCUUCACUACCAUCGAAAUAUAUAUAACAGUAGUAAAAUUGUAAACUUUUAUUUUUAUACCAUAGUAGUAUGGCUAUGAUUGGAAGGUUGUAGUGUCAGUCAAGUUGGAAAAACUGUUGGCACUUUUUUUCUGAAUCAAUGGAAUUCUUAUCAAACACAUGCAAACGUAUAAAGAAGACUUGAAUAGAUAAUCUUUGAAUUCAAACAAAUCCUAGUCAACUGAACAACGCAUCUACCUCAGCAGUCCUUGGGAAAUGUAUAAAUAGGCAAGCAUUAAACUUUUAUAUAUAAAACCAUCAAGAUCUCUAUUUUUAACUCGGUGGUUUCUUUCACAAGACUUACUUCAAGAACGACAACACAUCCUGACAGUUAAUUCAUUAAUACUAAUACUAUCGAGGAUUCUGUCAUCCAAGUGGAAUGAACAUGGGCAUCAAAGGAAUGUUUCCUCAAAGUGAGAACUAUAGUGUUGCAAGCGAAUACUUGGUCGCUUAGAACAAAACGAAUUACUGUCAUUAGGAUAUGCUCAAAAGUGUGGCGCUAUAUCUUGUAUCUAUUGCUACGUUCAUUCAUUGAUCCAACAGCAUGGGUAUAGAAAGAAGACGAUAAGCAGGAGUUGCGCAAACGAAGUUAUGGAGUUUCUUGCAUGCAUGCAUGUUUUGGCAUAAAGCUGGUACUUCGAAAUAUGCCUAUGAAAUCUCUACCUGCUUUGCACCCUAAAUAUAACGUGUCGUCUUGUAGCUGCAUGUGAAUUACAACGAUUGAUAGAUGAAAAACAAAUCGACUUGUUGCCCAUUUCAUCGUUUCAAACGACUGGUAGUGUUGCUUGUGUCCAUAUCCAUGCUGUGUCCAUAUCCAUACUAUGUCCGUGUGUUUUGCUUUAUUACACUUGGUCAAAGAAAUCUAUAUGAUGUUCUUUACGAAACCCACAAAGUCAUUAGGGAUAUCAUUCGAACAGAAGGGUAUGUAUGCAAAAUACACUACAAGGACUAAGCCCAAGCACCGUAUUGUUUCAGUCUCGAAGUAAUUCUAUGUACCCGUGCAUUGGAGAUGCGUUUAAUUAACAUGGUGCGAUUGGACUUGAGUGAGCUGACAGCACUGUAUGAGGGUCUGUUUGCCAAGAUUCAGGACUUGUUGAAAGAGUUAUUACAACUACAACUAUAACUAUAACUACAACUAUAACUACAACGAUAAGAACUAUCACUACUCUGAAGACAACGAUGUGUUUUCUCAAGAUGAUAACGGAUCUAGCUUCGCCAUCAAUAAGUAUGAGACAAAGGAGUCCAUCUUUGAUGAAACAUCCAUUUUCCUGUUGUACAUUUUUGCAGGACAACUAGCCUGAGCACAAGAGACAUGGUGUACUAGACCUUGUGCGGAAUGUCUACUUCAAAACUUGCAUCUUUAUAUCUGAUAUAUAGAGAUAUAGAGAUAUAGAGAUAUAGAGAGAGGCUGAUGAUUUAUAAACACAAACGAUAAGACUUGUAACAUGAAGUUUGUCGAAAAAGUCAAUCUUUAAAUUCCUUUCUGAACCUCUCUGUUAUGUCAGUGCUUCGGUAUUAUGCUUUAAUGCAGUCACUUGAGGCGUUGUCCUAAUAGGUGCAAAGUUACCGUAUAUUUAGGUUUCAUGUUUGUGAUUACUGGAGAACGACUGUGAAGAGACCAACCGUAUCGUGUUUUUUCCAAUUGUGAUCUUCCAAUGCUUAAUAAAUACGAAAUCUUAUUUCGAUUUACAGGCUGGGCAUUCACGAAACAUAGCGUUUUUACAUUUCUACAGGC